AUCAACUUUCGAUGGUAGGAUAGAGGCCUAUCAUGGUGGUAACGGGUAACGGGGUGUUAGGGCACGACACCGGAGAGGGAGCCUGAGAAACGGCUACCACAUCCAAGGAUGGCAGCAGGCGCGCAAAUUACCCAAUCCCGACACGGGGAGGUAGUGACAAUAAAUAACGAUACGGGGUUCUUUAGGAUCUCGUAAUUGGAAUGAGUACAAUUUAAAUCUCUUAACGAGGAACAAUUGGAGGGCAAGUCUGGUGCCAGCAGCCGCGGUAAUUCCAGCUCCAAUAGCGUAUAUUAAAGUUGUUGCAGUUAAAAAGCUCGUAGUUGAAUUUCGGGGUUAGUAGGUUGGUCAUGCCUCUGGUAUGUACUGGUCUCACAGAUUCCUCCUUCCUGAUGAACCGUAAUGCCAUUAAUUUGGUGUUGCGGGGAAUUUGGACUGUUACUUUGAAGAAAUUAGAGUGUUUAAAGCAAGCUAACGCUUGAAUACAUUAGCAUGGAAUAAUGAAAUAGGACGUUCGAUCCUAUUUUGUUGGUUUCUAGGAUUGACGUAAUGAUUAAUAGGGAUAGUUGGGGGCAUUAGUAUUCAAUUGUCAGAGGUGAAAUUCUUGGAUUUAUUGAAGACUAACUACUGCGAAAGCAUUUGCCAAGGAUGUUUUCAUUAAUCAAGAACGAAAGUUAGGGGAUCGAAGACGAUCAGAUACCGUCGUAGUCUUAACCAUAAACUAUGCCGACUAGGGAUCGGAUGAUGUUAAUUUUUUAAUGACUCAUUCGGCGCCUUACGGGAAACCAAAGUGUUUGGGUUC
RNAcentral lists this ribosomal RNA (799 nucleotides) under uncultured fungus. Its description in RNAcentral is "SSU rRNA". It matches the Rfam family "Eukaryotic small subunit ribosomal RNA", at positions 314 to 1114 of the family's 1831-position model. The record is from RNAcentral. Lineage: Eukaryota; Fungi.